AUGGAAAGUGUUCAAAUAGAACAUGAAAACAUGAUUCAAUUGGUAUUAGUUAUUCUUCGAGAUGGAGUGGAAGAAAGGCGAAGACUCUUGAAGGAGGAAAAUGAUCCCUUCGAAAGAAUUGACCGAGGAGCCGUAUGA
Molecule: ribosomal RNA, 138 nt
Filed under: Triticum aestivum (bread wheat)
Lineage: Eukaryota; Viridiplantae; Streptophyta; Magnoliopsida; Poales; Poaceae
Description: partial small subunit ribosomal RNA
Source: RNAcentral